Molecule: small nucleolar RNA, 104 nt
Organism: Cavia porcellus (domestic guinea pig)
Lineage: Eukaryota; Metazoa; Chordata; Mammalia; Rodentia; Caviidae
Rfam family: Small nucleolar RNA U13
Source: Rfam
ACUCUGCUGUGGCUCGUAAGUGUGACUUUUGGUUUUCUGCACCAUCGUGUAAGGCGUGCUUUCCUGAAACUGUGUUAUGAUAUUGGCAAAUUACCCGUUUGAUA